Apaloderma vittatum (bar-tailed trogon) is the source of this 73-nucleotide transfer RNA. It matches the Rfam family "tRNA". From Rfam's summary of the family: Transfer RNA (tRNA) molecules are approximately 80 nucleotides in length. Their secondary structure includes four short double-helical elements and three loops (D, anti-codon, and T loops). The record is from Rfam. NCBI's taxonomy places the organism in Eukaryota, Metazoa, Chordata, Aves, Trogoniformes, Trogonidae.
GGCCUGUUAGCUCAGUCAGUUGAGCAUGGUGCUGAUAACACCUAGGUUGCGAGUUCGAUCCCUGUUCGGUCCC